RNAcentral lists this long non-coding RNA (2383 nucleotides) under Sus scrofa (pig). RNAcentral describes it as "lncRNA (ENSSSCG00025072392.1)". The record is from RNAcentral. Lineage: Eukaryota; Metazoa; Chordata; Mammalia; Artiodactyla; Suidae.
GAGAAUUUAAUGGAAGCUCCAUAUGCAACAGUGUGAGUGGAUCCAAAGCCUUACAACCAUGUCAUCAACACUCCUCUCUCUCGUCAACUCCUUUUUUCCCUUUCAGUACCAGCUAGAUUCUCCUAGAACUUUCUAGUCAGCAUGAGUCUGCCAGCAUCCCCAAGGUCACAAACCAAGAGCUUACAUUCUCAGAGAACAGCAGAGACUCCUCCAAUUCGGAAGCACUCCAGCAAGGGUCUGAUUGCCUGGCCUGGGUCCCAUUGGUGCUGUGCCAGAGGCAGGAUGACCAGCUCCUGACUCAACAUACAGCUUGGGAGCUUGACAUUGGUCAUGGUGGGCAUAUUUACACCAUGAAAAUCAGCAAAUGUUAUCAAUCAAGACUCCUCUCAACAUUGUUUUUAAAUAUUUACCAGGGUACCACUGUGGGUUGGGAAAUGCCCAUCAUAGGUUCAACCUAGGUCCUGAGCCAACCUGUCCAAAGUAGCCCCCAAGAACCUAUGGUGCAGAGGAGGGUCUCUCUGAGUUACCUGGUGGCUCAGUGGGUCAAAGAUCCAGCAUUGCCACUACUGUGGCUCAGGUCACUGCUGUGGCGAGAGUUCAGUCCCUGGGCCAGGGACUUCCACAUGCCAUGGGUGCAGCCAAAAAAAGAGAAGAGAAAAAGAAGGCUGUCCAUCUCUGGAGGAAGAGUUGGUCUUGUUAUCAGAAUUGGGAGAUGUUGUCUGAAGACAAGCUACUGAAACCCAUUAUAGGGAAACGUCUAAGAAAAUAGUCCCAGAUCUUGGGGAACAGGUGGUUGGUGACCUGGAGAGAAAUGAUGAGGUCAGGGAUAAACAAGUUGAGUAAGAAGCACCUGAACACCUACCAUCUUGAGUAAGGCAGAAACCUUCUCCUGAAGAAACAGAUACUCAAAAGAGAGAGACGGUGAAUCAAGUACAAAUGUAAGUGCCACGGAAGGACACAAACCACAUCCACAUCGCUGGAAUUCUAUCUACUGCUUCAAACUGUAGUGCCCUGCACUUCUCCAGCUCUUUGCUUUACCCAAGAAGAUGCUGGGUCUACAAAGGGAAUCCACACACACCACACCUGCCAGGACAGGUGAGGAGAAGAGAAGCAGUGAGAUCUGAGGUUUGUGAUUAGGGCUGUGAUCUGAGAAGUGAGAACUGACAAAGCCUGCCUUGGUGAAUGAGGACAAGAAAGAAGGCAGGUUGGACAUGGCUGUCCAUGUGAUGGAUGGGAAGGAAGUUUCGUUCUCCUGGAGCCCAGAGGAUUCAAAUCCCAAGUCUUCUGCUCAGAGACGUACAGCUGUGCCUGCAUGACCAGUCUCAGGGCUUGAUGGCAGGACUGCUGAGGCAGGCAGAUGAUGGCCCCCCAGACCUAUGAAGACGAUACCUUACCUGGCACAAUGGGGUUUGCAGAUGUGAUUAAGGUGAAAUUGCAGAUGUGAUUAAGGUGAAAUUGGGAGAUUCAGAGUUCCCAUUGUGACUCAGCAGGUUAAGAAACUGACUAGUCUCCAUGAGGAUGUGAGUUCCAUCCCUGGCCUCACUCAGUGGGUUAAGGAUCUGGCAUUGCCGUGAGCUGUGGUAUAGGUUGCAGACACAGCUCAGAUCUGGCAUUGCUGUGGCUGUGUUGUAGGCUGGCAGCUGUAGCUCCUAUUCAACCUCUAGCCUGGGAAAUUUCAUAUGCUGCAGGUGUGGCCCUAAAGAGACAAGAAGGAAGGGAGGGAGGGAUGGAGGGAGGAAUGGAGGGAUGGAGAGAGGUGUGGAGGGAGGAAUAGAGGGAGGGUGGAGGGAGGAAUGGAGGAGAAAGGAAGGGAGGAAUGGAGGGAGGGAGGAGGAAGGCAGGAGAGUCAGAGAAGUGACAUACUGCUGACUUGGAGUCACACAUCAAGGAAGGUUGGUGUUUUAGAAGAAGGCUUCAAAAGCUGGAAAAGAAGAGACAGUCUUCCCUGAGGGCCUCAGAAGGAACCUAGCUCUGCUGAUGGCUCAAUUUUAGCCCAGUGAGACCCAUUUUGGACUUCCAACCUCCAGAACCAUACCAUAAUAAAUCUGUGUUGUUUUAAGUCACUAUGUGUGUGGCAAUUUGUUACAGCCACAACAGGCAACAAACACAACUCUUAAAGCCAUCAGGACAACUAUGGCACUAGACCACACUCUUCUCAGACCAGGCCAUGUGAACUGAGGACAAUGAAGAGAACCAAAUUCCUGCUAGGGUUUGUGGACCCAGAGGGUGGCCUGUGGUGAUGCUCCGUGGUGGGUUUCCAUGAGAUUGAGGAGGUACUCUGACCUGAGACUGGGUUAUCAGUAUGCUAUGUUGGGCCAGGAGGGGGCGAGGGAGCUUCCAGAAGUGCUGUUUACCUUCAUGCAUGGGGUGUCAAAUUCCACCA